Non-coding RNA from Arachis ipaensis, 341 nucleotides. NCBI's taxonomy places the organism in Eukaryota, Viridiplantae, Streptophyta, Magnoliopsida, Fabales, Fabaceae. The record is from RefSeq and is a predicted model, not a curated record.
GCUGAGAGUUAUGGUUAAAGUGCUACAGGAGCCGUAGUUCACAGGACUCUGCGGUUAGUCCUUCAACAUCAGGACAAUAUAGUACAACUCUUUCAAGAUUGAAGCAAAAAAUGAGUGGUUUUUGGUUGCAUGUGGUUCAGCGAUGGCCUGUGAUAGAAGCGCUUCUUGCUUUCGAUCACUUGCUUUCUCUGUAAGCACUAUCAUCUUUUAUCUUUUAUUUCAUACAUUCAAAACUUAAUGUAUUCCCUCUUAAUCACACUUAAUUUUAUGCCAAGUUUUGAUUUGUUAUAUGUUAUUCGUUAUUAGUAAUAACUAAUGAAGUUUUGAGAGAUUUUUGUUCA